UGGUUCUGGCAUNGAUGAAGAACGCAGCGAAAUGCGAUAAGUAAUGUGAAUUGCAGAAUUUAGUGAAUCAUCGAAUCUUUGAACGCACAUUGCGCCCUUUGGUAUUCCGAGGGGCAUGCCUGUUCGAGCGUCAUUACAACCCUCAAGCUCUGCUUGGUAUUCAGCACCGCCCCUGUGGCAGGCUGCAAAAGUAGUGGCGGUCGGUAGCUGGCUCCAAGCGUAGUACAUUUCUCGCUACGGAGACCGGUCAUCGACCUGCUAACCAGUCAUUUUUUACAGGUUGACCUCGGAUCAGGUAGGGAUACCCGCUGA
RNAcentral lists this unclassified non-coding RNA (312 nucleotides) under uncultured fungus. RNAcentral describes it as "partial contains 5.8S ribosomal RNA and internal transcribed spacer 2". The stretch from base 1 to 133 matches the Rfam family "5.8S ribosomal RNA", at positions 22 to 154 of the family's 154-position model. The record is from RNAcentral. Lineage: Eukaryota; Fungi.